UACAGAGGGUGCGAGCGUUGUCCGGAAUCACUGGGCGUAAAGGGAGCGUAGGCGGGUUUCUAAGUCAGGUGUUUAAUCCCGGGGCCCAACCCCGGACAGGCACUUGAAACUGGGAAUCUUGAAUAGUGGAGAGGUCAGUGGAAUUGGGGGUGUAGCGGUGGAAUGCGUAGAGAUCCCCAAGAACACCAGUUGCGAAGGCGGCUGACUGGACACAUAUUGACGCUGAGGCUCGAAAGCAUGGGGAGCAAACAGG
RNAcentral lists this ribosomal RNA (253 nucleotides) under uncultured bacterium. Its description in RNAcentral is "partial 16S ribosomal RNA". It matches the Rfam family "Bacterial small subunit ribosomal RNA", at positions 524 to 776 of the family's 1533-position model. The record is from RNAcentral.